UGGGGAAUAUUGCACAAUGGGCGCAAGCCUGAUGCAGCCAUGCCGCGUGUAUGAAGAAGGCCUUCGGGUUGUAAAGUACUUUCAGCGGGGAGGAAGGGAGUAAAGUUAAUACCUUUACUCAUUGACGUUACCCGCAGAAGAAGCACCGGCUAACUCCGUGCCAGCAGCCGCGGUAAUACGGAGGGUGCAAGCGUUAAUCGGAAUUACUGGGCGUAAAGCGCACGCAGGCGGGUUGUUAAGUCAGAUGUGAAAUCCCCGGGCUCAACCUGGGAACUGCAUCUGAUACUGGCAAGCUUGAGUCUCGGAGAGGGGGGUAGAAUUCCAGGUGUAGCGGUGAAAUGCGUAGAGAUCUGGAGGAAUACCGGUGGCGAAGGCGGCCCCCUGGACGAAGACUGACGCUCAGGUGCGAAAGCGGGGGGAGCAAACAGG
Molecule: ribosomal RNA, 429 nt
Filed under: Chloroflexota bacterium
Lineage: Bacteria; Bacillati; Chloroflexota
Description: Chloroflexi bacterium partial 16S ribosomal RNA
Rfam family: Bacterial small subunit ribosomal RNA
Source: RNAcentral